CAUCGCCCCUUGUAAAAUCACAAUCUCAUAAAUAAGGGGUACUGCCUGCCCAGUGACUUAAAAUUCAACGGCCGCGGUAUCUUGACCGUGCAAAGGUAGCAUAAUAAUUUGCUCUUUAAUUAAGGGCUAGUAUGAAAGGCAAGACGAAGGCUUAACUGUCUCCCUCUUAAAAAAAGAAAUUAAUAUCUUAGUGAAGAAGCUAAAAUAAAAAUGCAAGACGAGAAGACCCUGUCGAGCUUAAGAAAUUUUUUAUACCAAAAAUGAAAAAGCUAAUUAUAUUAAAAUACUCUUUUAUAUAAUAAUAAUAAAAAUAUCUUUGGUUGGGGCAACCACGAAGAAAAAAUAACCUUCGAUUCUUACAAAAAAUAAACAAAUUUAAAAGUUUUUUAAACUCUUCAGAUCCGGUAAUUACCGAUCAAAGAAAAAAGUUACCGCAGGGAUAACAGCGUUAUUCUCUUUAAGAGCUCGUAUUGACAAGAGAGUUUGCGACCUCGAUGUUGGACCGGGGCACCCAAGAGAUGCAGAAGUCUCUAAAGGUAGGUCUGUUCGACCUUUAAAGCCCUACGUGA
This 569-nucleotide ribosomal RNA is filed under the name Cenolia tasmaniae. RNAcentral describes it as "partial 16S ribosomal RNA". It matches the Rfam family "Bacterial large subunit ribosomal RNA", at positions 1814 to 2603 of the family's 2925-position model. The record is from RNAcentral. Lineage: Eukaryota; Metazoa; Echinodermata; Crinoidea; Comatulida; Comatulidae.